GUGUCAGCCGCCGCGGUAAGACAGAGGUGGCAAGCGUUGUUCGGAUUCAUUGGGUGUAAAGGGUGCGUAGGCGGUUUAGAUAGUCGGACGUGAAAGCCCACAGCUUAACUGUGGAAAUGCGUCCGAAACUCCUAGACUAGAGUGUGAGAGAGGUGAAGGGAAUUCCCGGUGUAAGGGUGAAAUCUGCAGAGAUCGGGAGGAACACCAGUAGCGAAGGCGCUUCACUGGCUCACAACUGACGCUGAGUGCACGAAGGUAUGGGGAGCAAACGGGAUUAGAAACCCUUGUAGUCC
Molecule: ribosomal RNA, 293 nt
Filed under: uncultured bacterium
Lineage: Bacteria
Description: partial 16S ribosomal RNA
Rfam family: Bacterial small subunit ribosomal RNA
Source: RNAcentral